AAACCAUGAUGAGGACAUUGAUUGGUGUAACUUUUGAAGCGCUCCUAGGCCUCACAGAAGCUUUCUCCAUUCUUUUGGGCGAAACCAGAGAUCUCAUUCCAUAGCCGU
RNAcentral lists this small nucleolar RNA (108 nucleotides) under Arabidopsis lyrata subsp. lyrata. RNAcentral describes it as "Plant small nucleolar RNA R71". It matches the Rfam family "Plant small nucleolar RNA R71". Rfam says of the family: R71 is a member of the C/D box family of snoRNAs containing the C (UGAUGA) and D (CUGA) box motifs. Multiple nearly identical copies of this snoRNA have been identified in Arabidopsis, and it is thought to function as a 2'-O-ribose methylation guide for 18S ribosomal RNA. Lineage: Eukaryota; Viridiplantae; Streptophyta; Magnoliopsida; Brassicales; Brassicaceae. The record is from Rfam by way of RNAcentral.